CCCUUAGAUGUUCUGGGCCGCACGCGCGCUACACUGAUGCAUUCAACGAGUCUAAAACCUGGUCUGAUAGGGCUGGGUAAUCUUUUGAAAGUGCAUCGUGAUUGGGAUAGAUGAUUGCAAUUCUUCAUCUUCAACGAGGAAUGCCUAGUAAACGCAAGUCAUCAGCUUGCAUUGAUUACGUCCCUGCCCUUUGUACACACCGCCCGUCGCUCCUACCGAUUGAAUGAUCCGAUGAAUACCAUGGAUUGAGAGUACGAAUGGGUUCACUCAUUUCUGCUGCUCGAGAAGUGGAGUAAAUCUUAUCAUUUAGAGGAAGGAGAAGUCGUAACA
Molecule: ribosomal RNA, 330 nt
Filed under: uncultured eukaryote
Lineage: Eukaryota
Description: partial 18S ribosomal RNA
Rfam family: Eukaryotic small subunit ribosomal RNA
Source: RNAcentral